Molecule: non-coding RNA, 85 nt
Organism: Felis catus (domestic cat)
Lineage: Eukaryota; Metazoa; Chordata; Mammalia; Carnivora; Felidae
Source: Rfam
GCCUGGGUGGCUCAGGCGGUUAAGUGUCUGACUUCGGCUCAGGUCAUGAUCUCAGGUCUCAUGGGUUCGAGCCCCAUGUCAGGCU